CCAGAUAGUGGUUGAUUGCGGGAACUGAAAAUGCGAAAACGAAACCUCGGAUAAUAUAUACAGGGACAACUGUAUAUAUUGGAUCUCCGUGCCCGUCUCUGGCACUGAGGCUCUUGGAAUUUCCCAAGUGUGGAGAAUAGUAAAGCCUCAUGUUAUGUUAAUGAGGUAAUUAGACCUCUCUUUAGGGCCAGUGCUGGUGCAUAGGAAUACUAGGUGCAUUGGAAUAUCUGGUCCCAACCUCCUUGGUCAGAGGUUUUAUCAAGAAUGCCUAAGUGAAGAAGCCUUCAUAAAGUUCCAGAAGGACAGACUAGAAGAUUCCAGAGGGAAACAGACUCAUUUGAAGUAACUGAGGAAGAUAUAUCUGGAUUACCUGAAAUCCUUAACUUCAUAAUACCUGAAAGUUCCCAAGACUUGUUCCUUCAGAUGACUUGAGCCAUUUCUAUUUGAGUGGUUCUUGGCGGAAGGAAUGAAAGAGCUUCACGAUGACACAGUUCAAGAGUCACUGCAUAAAUCAGGCAGCAUGAACGAUCCCAUUAUCUAGUCAUGGAUCCCUGGCUGCAAGGAGCUUUUGCUAAAGGUAAAUCCACAAAUGCAUCAACAUUGGGAGGACCUUCUAAAAGUCAAGGCCUGAUUCUAAUUUAAGAUGAUGGGAUGUGUG
This is a long non-coding RNA of Lutra lutra (Eurasian river otter), 658 nucleotides long. RefSeq lists it as uncharacterized. The transcript is spliced from 3 exons. The record is from RefSeq and is a predicted model, not a curated record. NCBI's taxonomy places the organism in Eukaryota, Metazoa, Chordata, Mammalia, Carnivora, Mustelidae.